This 77-nucleotide transfer RNA is filed under the name Nitrospinaceae bacterium. RNAcentral describes it as "tRNA-Pro". It matches the Rfam family "tRNA". Rfam says of the family: Transfer RNA (tRNA) molecules are approximately 80 nucleotides in length. Their secondary structure includes four short double-helical elements and three loops (D, anti-codon, and T loops). Further hydrogen bonds mediate the characteristic L-shaped molecular structure. tRNAs have two regions of fundamental functional importance: the anti-codon, which is responsible for specific mRNA codon recognition, and the 3' end, to which the tRNAs corresponding amino acid is attached (by aminoacyl-tRNA synthetases). tRNAs cope with the degeneracy of the genetic code in two manners: having more than one tRNA (with a specific anti-codon) for a particular amino acid; and 'wobble' base-pairing, i.e. permitting non-standard base-pairing at the 3rd anti-codon position. Lineage: Bacteria; Pseudomonadati; Nitrospinota; Nitrospinia; Nitrospinales; Nitrospinaceae. The record is from RNAcentral.
CGGGGCGUAGCGCAGCCUGGUAGCGCACCUGCUUUGGGAGCAGGGGGCCGGAGGUUCGAAUCCUCUCGCCCCGACCA